Molecule: non-coding RNA, 24 nt
Filed under: Arabidopsis thaliana (thale cress)
Lineage: Eukaryota; Viridiplantae; Streptophyta; Magnoliopsida; Brassicales; Brassicaceae
Source: RNAcentral
AUCAUCCCGACCAUUUCCAUUUGC